GGAAGCACGCGGCUCACUGGUGGGGCCCUCGGACUUCAAAUCCGAUGUGGGGAGUUAAUACCUUCCCGGGUAGGUUCGAUUCCUAUGUGCUUCCGCCA
This 98-nucleotide transfer RNA is filed under the name Desulfobacter sp. RNAcentral's name for it is "tRNA-Sec". It matches the Rfam family "Selenocysteine transfer RNA". The record is from RNAcentral. Lineage: Bacteria; Pseudomonadati; Thermodesulfobacteriota; Desulfobacteria; Desulfobacterales; Desulfobacteraceae.